This 497-nucleotide ribosomal RNA is filed under the name uncultured bacterium. Its description in RNAcentral is "partial 16S ribosomal RNA". It matches the Rfam family "Bacterial small subunit ribosomal RNA", at positions 28 to 507 of the family's 1533-position model. The record is from RNAcentral.
GAUGAACGCUGGCGGCGUGCCUAAUACAUGCAAGUCGAGCGAACAGAUGAGGAGCUUGCUCCUCUGACGUUAGCGGCGGACGGGUGGGUAACACGUGGAUAACCUACCUAUAAGACUGGGAUAACUUCGGGAAACCGGAGCUAAUACCGGAUAAUAUAUUGAACCGCAUGGUUCAAUAGUGAAAGACGGUUUUGCUGUCACUUAUAGAUGGAUCCGCGCCGCAUUAGCUAGUUGGUAAGGUAACGGCUUACCAAGGCAACGAUGCGUAGCCGACCUGAGAGGGUGAUCGGCCACACUGGAACUGAGACACGGUCCAGACUCCUACGGGAGGCAGCAGUAGGGAAUCUUCCGCAAUGGGCGAAAGCCUGACGGAGCAACGCCGCGUGAGUGAUGAAGGUCUUCGGACCGUAAAACUCUGUUAUUAGGGAAGAACAAAUGUGUAAGUAACUAUGCACGUCUUGACGGUACCUAAUCAGAAAGCCACGGCUAACUACGUG